UACGUAGGGUGCGAGCGUUGUCCGGAAUUACUGGGCGUAAAGAGCUCGUAGGUGGUUUGUCGCGUUGUCCGUGAAAACUCACAACUCAAUUGUGGGCGUGCGGGCGAUACGGGCAGACUGGAGUACUGCAGGGGAGACUGGAAUUCCUGGUGUAGCGGUGGAAUGCGCAGAUAUCAGGAGGAACACCGGUGGCGAAGGCGGGUCUCUGGGCAGUAACCGACGCUGAGGCGCGAAAGCGUGGGGAGCGAACAGG
Molecule: ribosomal RNA, 253 nt
Filed under: uncultured bacterium
Lineage: Bacteria
Description: partial 16S ribosomal RNA
Rfam family: Bacterial small subunit ribosomal RNA
Source: RNAcentral